Molecule: ribosomal RNA, 1525 nt
Filed under: Parabacteroides distasonis
Lineage: Bacteria; Pseudomonadati; Bacteroidota; Bacteroidia; Bacteroidales; Tannerellaceae
Description: bacterial SSU rRNA
Rfam family: Bacterial small subunit ribosomal RNA
Source: RNAcentral
ACAACGAAGAGUUUGAUCCUGGCUCAGGAUGAACGCUAGCGACAGGCUUAACACAUGCAAGUCGAGGGGCAGCACAGGUAGCAAUACCGGGUGGCGACCGGCGCACGGGUGAGUAACGCGUAUGCAACUUACCUAUCAGAGGGGGAUAACCCGGCGAAAGUCGGACUAAUACCGCAUGAAGCAGGGGCCCCGCAUGGGGAUAUUUGCUAAAGAUUCAUCGCUGAUAGAUAGGCAUGCGUUCCAUUAGGCAGUUGGCGGGGUAACGGCCCACCAAACCGACGAUGGAUAGGGGUUCUGAGAGGAAGGUCCCCCACAUUGGUACUGAGACACGGACCAAACUCCUACGGGAGGCAGCAGUGAGGAAUAUUGGUCAAUGGCCGAGAGGCUGAACCAGCCAAGUCGCGUGAGGGAUGAAGGUUCUAUGGAUCGUAAACCUCUUUUAUAAGGGAAUAAAGUGCGGGACGUGUCCCGUUUUGUAUGUACCUUAUGAAUAAGGAUCGGCUAACUCCGUGCCAGCAGCCGCGGUAAUACGGAGGAUCCGAGCGUUAUCCGGAUUUAUUGGGUUUAAAGGGUGCGUAGGCGGCCUUUUAAGUCAGCGGUGAAAGUCUGUGGCUCAACCAUAGAAUUGCCGUUGAAACUGGGGGGCUUGAGUAUGUUUGAGGCAGGCGGAAUGCGUGGUGUAGCGGUGAAAUGCAUAGAUAUCACGCAGAACCCCGAUUGCGAAGGCAGCCUGCCAAGCCAUGACUGACGCUGAUGCACGAAAGCGUGGGGAUCAAACAGGAUUAGAUACCCUGGUAGUCCACGCAGUAAACGAUGAUCACUAGCUGUUUGCGAUACACUGUAAGCGGCACAGCGAAAGCGUUAAGUGAUCCACCUGGGGAGUACGCCGGCAACGGUGAAACUCAAAGGAAUUGACGGGGGCCCGCACAAGCGGAGGAACAUGUGGUUUAAUUCGAUGAUACGCGAGGAACCUUACCCGGGUUUGAACGCAUUCGGACCGAGGUGGAAACACCUUUUCUAGCAAUAGCCGUUUGCGAGGUGCUGCAUGGUUGUCGUCAGCUCGUGCCGUGAGGUGUCGGCUUAAGUGCCAUAACGAGCGCAACCCUUGCCACUAGUUACUAACAGGUGAUGCUGAGGACUCUGGUGGGACUGCCAGCGUAAGCUGCGAGGAAGGCGGGGAUGACGUCAAAUCAGCACGGCCCUUACAUCCGGGGCGACACACGUGUUACAAUGGCGUGGACAAAGGGAGGCCACCUGGCGACAGGGAGCGAAUCCCCAAACCACGUCUCAGUUCGGAUCGGAGUCUGCAACCCGACUCCGUGAAGCUGGAUUCGCUAGUAAUCGCGCAUCAGCCAUGGCGCGGUGAAUACGUUCCCGGGCCUUGUACACACCGCCCGUCAAGCCAUGGGAGCCGGGGGUACCUGAAGUCCGUAACCGCGAGGAUCGGCCUAGGGUAAAACUGGUGACUGGGGCUAAGUCGUAACAAGGUAGCCGUACCGGAAGGUGCGGCUGGAACACCUCCUUU